Scylla paramamosain (green mud crab) is the source of this 287-nucleotide long non-coding RNA. RefSeq lists it as uncharacterized. The record is from RefSeq and is a predicted model, not a curated record. The transcript has 3 exons. NCBI's taxonomy places the organism in Eukaryota, Metazoa, Arthropoda, Malacostraca, Decapoda, Portunidae.
GUUUAUGUUGAGGUGCUGAGAGCGCACGGCCUUUCUGUUAUUAUUUUCGUUGUAUCUGCUUCCUUAUGUUCUUUCUCGCUUAUUUCCAUCCGUGCCUUUCUUAACCAUCCAUCAAGGAAUAAGAAUUGGUUUGACGCGUGUUACCUGUGCCGCCUUGUCCUGCUGGCUUCACCUGUUCCCUGCCUGCCCUCACUUGUUGUCAUCACGGCGUGGCCUUCACCUGGGGCUCGCCGCAUCUCAAGUAGUACCGAAUGUCAGCAAAGAACGGCCGUUGCAGUGAAAAGGUU